GAAAUGCGAUAUGUAAUGUGAAUUGCAGAAUUCAGUGAAUCAUCGAAUCUUUGAACGCACAUUGCGCCCGCCAGUAUUCUGGCGGGCAUGCCUGUCCGAGCGUCAUUUCAACCAUCAAGCCCCCGGGCUUGUGUUGGGGACCUGCGGCUGCCCGCAGGCCCUGAAAACCAGUGGCGGGCUCGCUGUCACACCGAGCGUAGUAGCAAUCACCUCGCUCAGGGCGUGCUGCGGGUUCCGGCCGUUAAACAGCCUUACAAAACCCAAGGUUGACCUCGGAUCAGGUAGGAAGACCCGCUGAACUUAAGC
RNAcentral lists this unclassified non-coding RNA (306 nucleotides) under plant metagenome. Its description in RNAcentral is "partial contains 5.8S ribosomal RNA, internal transcribed spacer 2, and large subunit ribosomal RNA". The stretch from base 1 to 105 matches the Rfam family "5.8S ribosomal RNA", at positions 50 to 154 of the family's 154-position model. The record is from RNAcentral.